This 469-nucleotide ribosomal RNA is filed under the name uncultured bacterium. RNAcentral describes it as "partial 16S ribosomal RNA". It matches the Rfam family "Bacterial small subunit ribosomal RNA", at positions 27 to 507 of the family's 1533-position model. The record is from RNAcentral.
GGACGAACGCUGGCGGCGUGCUUAACACAUGCAAGUCGACCGGAAAGGCCCUGCUUUUGUGGGGUGCUCGAGUGGCGAACGGGUGAGUAACACGUGAGUAACCUGCCCUUGACUUUGGGAUAACUUCAGGAAACUGGGGCUAAUACCGGAUAGGAGCUCCUGCUGCAUGGUGGGGGUUGGAAAGUUUCGGCGGUUGGGGAUGGACUCGCGGCUUAUCAGCUUGUUGGUGGGGUAGUGGCUUACCAAGGCUUUGACGGGUAGCCGGCCUGAGAGGGUGACCGGCCACAUUGGGACUGAGAUACGGCCCAGACUCCUACGGGAGGCAGCAGUGGGGAAUAUUGCACAAUGGGCGGAAGCCUGAUGCAGCAACGCCGCGUGCGGGAUGACGGCCUUCGGGUUGUAAACCGCUUUCGCCUGUGACGAAGCGUGAGUGACGGUAAUGGGUAAAGAAGCACCGGCUAACUACGUG